This 254-nucleotide ribosomal RNA is filed under the name uncultured bacterium. Its description in RNAcentral is "partial 16S ribosomal RNA". It matches the Rfam family "Bacterial small subunit ribosomal RNA", at positions 524 to 776 of the family's 1533-position model. The record is from RNAcentral.
GACGAACCGUGCGAACGUUGUUCGGAAUCACUGGGCUUAAAGGGCGCGUAGGCGGGCUGCCAAGUCCGUGGUGAAAUCCCCCGGCUCAACCGGGGAACGGCCUCGGAUACUGGCGGCCUCGAGGGGGGUAGGGGCGUGCGGAACUGUGGGUGGAGCGGUGAAAUGCGUUGAUAUCCACAGGAACUCCGGUGGCGAAGGCGGCACGCUGGACCCUCUCUGACGCUGAGUGCGCGAAAGCGUGGGGAGCGAACAGG